Molecule: long non-coding RNA, 336 nt
Filed under: Cairina moschata (Muscovy duck)
Lineage: Eukaryota; Metazoa; Chordata; Aves; Anseriformes; Anatidae
Description: domestica (muscovy Duck (domestic type)) lncRNA (ENSCMMG00000017089.1)
Source: RNAcentral
GGGCUCUGCUCACAGAGGACACCCCUGCUACCAAAACCUUGCCAGGUAAGCUCAAAGUCUGUUCCAACCUCAGCUAUUCUGUGAUUCUGUGAUCUCCAUUGACUCAAGUUUUACAUUUGAUUUAUCAGCCACAUAAAGACCUAAAUUCAAAAGUGCUUUGUUCUGGAGGUCAUGAUGGCAUGGCAUCAUUAGAUGUCAGAUCCUGACCCCAGCGGAUCAGAAACUGUUAAAUUUCAGCUGUUUUACCUUUAAAGAGCCUAAAUGGAACAUAGAGAAACUCCUUCUGGAAGUGUACCUGCUAAGUAACAACCAUUAAGAAAUAUCUUUACACCACCA